UUUGCCGAAUUCAAAAUUUUUUCUUCUUGUAAACAAAAACCAGACUGUUUUCUUUCCUGAUUUAACGAUUUGGAAGCCAAACGAUCAGCCAAUGCUUUUGCUUUAGAUAUCUUUUCUUGUAACUUUAAUUUAUUCAACUAAAAAAUAGUUAGCAUAUAUACAUUCUGUUUUACGCUAGAAACUUUAAAUGAGUAAACGAACUUGUUGAUAGGCAACAGGAACAGGAACGGAGGGAGGUAAAUUGAAACUAACAUUAUCUGGUUCUCGUAAAGUUACUGUAGUUUUGGCUCGCGAAAUACUGUAUGAAAUCAAAGAAAAUUUGUACAAAAAAAAAACGUUUCAUGAGUGAAAGGCGCAAUAUGUCUACCUACAUUAAUUCGUGUGAAUCUAUUGUUCUAGAAGAAAUUGAUAGAUUUCUAACAGCAUCAGCCAUUUCAGUAGUUUUGAACUCUAUAAGCGCAACACUAGAACGCCAAACUUGAAUAGAAAGUCCAUUUGUACUUUUUGAAAUUACGUACCGUUUUCCAAAAUCUGAAGCAGCACCGUCGAUUAAACGAUUAUCAACAACCUCAAGAGGUCCAAAUUUGAGGUAGAUUGGCUACAUGAACAGUACGGGUUAAUUGCUGCUCUUCUGUUUCGCGUGGAGGGUAAUCAUAACCUAAAAAGUGUACCUAAACUGUGAGAUAAAAAAUGAUCCGGACAAGAAUCCGUUAAAGAAGAUGUUACACCUAAUAAAUUUAUAGAAAGCCCCAAGAAAGUAAAGGAGGGCGCAAGGAAGCUUGGAUCGUAGGAUCGAUGACUGUGAUAACCAAAGGGACUCCAAGAAGACUUUGUCCGUUUUGUGACGUAGCUGCUGUUACUCCUGAAGAGGUAUAUGAGGCGUAAGAAAUUCUCGUACAAUGUCAGUCGUUAACAGAGGCGAUAAAUUUUUGAGAAAAACACUGUUAGAUAAGAUAUGGCUUGACAUCAAGACUUGGCUCUUGAAAAAUCAAGAUAACACAGAAACACAAUUUAUUAUGCCUAAGAUUUGUCAAAUUUGAUGAACCGUGUUAUAUAACACAGUUUUGCAAAUCUCUAAUUUCUCUUAUCUUUCUUAUAUACACUGUUCUCAAGAACAUUGUCACUACCUUUACAAGAGUAUCUAAAGGGUUGUGUUAGCUCCUUUUUACAAAGUCAAAGAAGCAUGCCAUGUUUACUGCCCC
This is a long non-coding RNA of Hylaeus volcanicus, 1202 nucleotides long. RefSeq lists it as uncharacterized. NCBI's taxonomy places the organism in Eukaryota, Metazoa, Arthropoda, Insecta, Hymenoptera, Colletidae. The record is from RefSeq and is a predicted model, not a curated record. The transcript has 6 exons.